Molecule: RNA transcript, 1392 nt
Organism: Felis catus (domestic cat)
Lineage: Eukaryota; Metazoa; Chordata; Mammalia; Carnivora; Felidae
Gene: TAF1D
Gene name: TATA-box binding protein associated factor, RNA polymerase I subunit D
Exons: 8
Source: RefSeq, a predicted model, not a curated record
ACCAAAGAAGAAGAAUGUGUAUUUAGAACAAGAGGAAUAUACUGAAGAAGCAGCUGUGUCUAAAAGGAGACCAUCAAGGUCCAAAAACAUUGGACAGAGGAUAGAAUGGUCUGAAAAGGAGAUAGGAAUAUGAAUGUUAAGGUAAACAGCACAGAGAAAAACAGCUUUUCGUAGAAAAUAAAGAUGAUAAAUGCAAAUAUAUGUCAGUGAUAAAAAUGAAUCUAAGGAGAAAAUAAAAAGAACCUGAACAAAUUAGUGAAACUCUGAAUUAUCAGGAAAAGCAUUUUAAAGCUGUGGAAUUGUUUACAUGUAGAAAAGAAUUAAGGCUUGCAUAGCAAAAAUAAUCACCUGAUAAAUAAUAAACAGGAUCUUACUGUUUUUGUCCAUACUUUGUUUCAGAGCAAGAGCUUAAAGGUGUCAUUUUGAGCAAAGAAGUAUGGAGAUUAUCUCCUGAAAACCUUUAUUAUAAAUGUAAUCACUAAUGAUUGACAUCUCCUCAGGAUACCUGAAGCCGUUUUUAUCCCAGUUUUAUUCAAAGACCUUUAGUGUCAAACGUGUUAUUGUAAUAAGAACUUCCUAACUACCUAGACUGUGUCAACUACAAUUUUCUUCUCAUCACCACUGUAUAUUGCUGAUUAUGCCACUAAAUAACGCUGUAUUGAUUGCACUUGUGCUUGUUUUUGUUCAGUUUUGUGGACAAAGACUUAGACGAGUGCAGAAAAUAAAUCCUCUUUUGCAACCCAGAACUCAUGGCUCAAUAUGAGUUUUGAUACAUGUAAGAAGGAACAAGAUCCCUACAACCAACUAAAGUGAUGGUGGGGGGUUUGAUAAACUUGAAAGUUGGUUUCAGGACUGUAGAAUGACUAAAGCACAAGACAAAAGGGAAUUCUCAACUAUGGUGAGUUAGUAUUAUGAUUUUAAUGUUGAUAUAAAACAAAGAUGCCUUCUUGUUGUAGGCUUUUCAUUUGAGAGCACAAUGUCUGGACUUAAAGGUAUUGGAGUAUCCCAAGAAUCUGUAUAGUUCAGGGCGUGCUAGUUUAGGGGUGAAUAUGAUUUGAACUCAUUUAUGUUUAGAGGGUGUUUGAAAUUGAGAACCAGGGGUCCAUGUAGUCUGACCCUAAACAUGGCCCUAAAGUAAAAAAAAAAACUGGAUCCCAAAGAUUGCAGGUGGGGAAUUCCUGAAGUAUGUCCAUAUUCAAGUGGAGAUUAAAGAAGCCCAAGGGAAAGAACUCUGGCAAGAUAGGACUGAUGGUGACAACUGUGGAUUGAACAAAAGCUCCUUUUAAAAGGGCUAUUUUGAAGAAUGUGAUUCUGACUCGGAGGAACGACGGUGCUUGGGAGUGGAAGGAAUCCCGUGUUAAAAUUCUUAAAUAAAAAUUUAUUGACUUUAAA